RNAcentral lists this long non-coding RNA (743 nucleotides) under Sander lucioperca (pikeperch). Its description in RNAcentral is "lncRNA (ENSSLUG00000001760.1)". Lineage: Eukaryota; Metazoa; Chordata; Actinopteri; Perciformes; Percidae. The record is from RNAcentral.
CGCAGUACCAAACCAUUCCCACCACUACUUACCCCGCCGGCUACAUGUGUGGGGGGGGAAGAAACCUGCUGAGUAAAACCAAGCAAAGGAAAGAAACUAAAUUAAGCAUUACUUUUUACUGCAUGGAAUAACUGCACUGAUUUUUUUUUCCCACUGAGGCGUUAGGAGUGUAAACUAGUAAAAGUUGAAUGCCCGAGAGCACAUUUGCAAGUCCGGACUGAACGACAAUGGAAUUUGUGAUCUCGUAACCACGAGAAAUAACGUUAUCUGUCUGCGUAUACAAGCGCCGGUUGCAGACAAACUGGAUUACGUUACUCUCAUUGAAAAACUUCUUGCUUCGCUGAAAAGAGGAGUAAACCAGCGUUUUUGAGCAAGUGACUGACGAGUUGUACACAGGCAAGGUUUGGACAAAUCCUCAUGGGAGCCAUGGAAAGAUUAGAAAUGGCAGGAAAAGAGCACUGAAUUUUUACAGCCACAUCUCAUCAUUGAGUGACACCCUCUACUGCCAUCGUUGCUCAAACCUGGGGACUCCACUUCUUGUAAAUAGCUGUGGCCAGGGAAAACCCUCAUCUUGUCAUUGGAGGAACACAGUGGAUCAGGUUGUGUCCAGAAGGAUGUGUUUUUAAACCCAAACUGCUGGGAGGUCAAGAGGUGACAUGCCUCUGUAAAACACCACUGGAAACCAAUGGUGAGGAGCUGAUGAAGUUGACAUUGAAGAUGACAUGGCACAAACAGAGAGCUAU